UUGAAAAGGGCCAAACUGAAUGAAUUUUAAUACUCUGCCCUUAUAAGGCAUCUCCUUCUGUAUUUUUUUCCUACAAUAGACUAAAGUAAUUCUGUGCUUAUUUUAUAGCUUUGCAGUCCCCAAAAAAACCAUGAAGCCCUGAGAGUAAUGAAAAGCUUCCUGACAUUGAGGUCACUGUGGAAGAUCAGAGGAUCAGAGAUCUCUCCUCUACACGAGGUGCCAUCCUUUCCUGAAGGAGCUCCUUGUAAAGUGCAUGAGGUGUUCCUUUUGGUAAAAAGACACACUGCGCAACCACAGAGACCUGAGCCUGAACCUAUAAAGAUUUGAACAAGAUCAGCGGCAACAUCAGAUUCUCGUGAGCACGAACCCUGUUGUGAACUGUGCAUGCAAGGGAUCUACCUUGCUCUGUCCUUAGGAGAAUCUAAUGCCUGAUGAUCUGUCACUGUCUCCCAUCACCCCCACAUGGGACCAUCUAGUUGCAGAAAAACAAGCUAAGGCCUCCCACUCAUUCUACAUUAUGCCUUAGCCGAGAUGUCUCACCCCACUCUCUAUGAUGCAACAAGAAGCCCCUGGGGAACGUUUCAGUCCCAGUCUGUACUAUUGUCAUGUGCUCAUCACAGUCUGAACCACCUAAGCUAAAGAUUCUUUUGAGAACAAGGGCUAGCCUGUGGUUUCAUGGCCUUUCUUCCAUUUGGGGUUCUUGCCAAGUGGAAUUUAAAUGACCUCUUAUCAAGAUGGAUAAACCCAAGUUUCCCAGUGCUGGAAUACAGAAAAUGGAUGGACA
This 784-nucleotide long non-coding RNA is filed under the name Homo sapiens (human). Its description in RNAcentral is "non-protein coding lnc-TMEM248-4:10". The record is from RNAcentral. Lineage: Eukaryota; Metazoa; Chordata; Mammalia; Primates; Hominidae.